CAUAACCAUUAUUGUUAUAACGUUCUCUAUACUUUCGGGAGGUAAAUUCGUCACAUUAAAUCAAUUCUCAAACGAGGAACUAAAUAUUUAAGUUUCGUCAAUUGAAAAGCGGGAAGCCCACGCAACAUAUCUUAUAUCAUCGACCAAACAUAGCUUUUUUUCAUAUACAAUUAUCUUCACUAAUUCGUAAUGUGUUAAGACAAACCAAUAUUCUAGCCUUAUAAAAUAACUUUAGAAGCCAUUAGAACGACCGAAAGUUGCCAAUUUAUUCAUGCAUUUGUUACUUUCGCUUCUGACAACAACGAUGCUGAAACGCCUUCUUCAACGAGUUGCUUGAUGCCUUUUUCUUGCCUAAACUUUGUUGAUAUAGCUAAAGAAAGCCUUUUACUGAUAAGUAUUAAAAGUCAAAUAGAAAAACUUACAUACUACUGUUCUUCUUUGACACACAGACACACACGAUGUAAAA
Non-coding RNA from Paramuricea clavata, 466 nucleotides. The record is from the annotation of a GenBank genome assembly. Lineage: Eukaryota; Metazoa; Cnidaria; Anthozoa; Malacalcyonacea; Plexauridae.